Molecule: ribosomal RNA, 700 nt
Filed under: anoxygenic photosynthetic bacterium Gj28
Lineage: Bacteria
Description: bacterial SSU rRNA
Rfam family: Bacterial small subunit ribosomal RNA
Source: RNAcentral
CAUGCAAGUCGAACGGUAGCACAGGAGAGCUUGCUCUCGGGUGACGAGCUGGCGGACGGGUGAGUAAUGUCUGGGAAACUGCCCGAUGGAGGGGGAUAACUACUGGAAACGGUAGCUAAUACCGCAUAACGUCGCAAGACCAAAGAGGGGGACCUUCGGGCCUCUUGCCAUCGGAUGUGCCCAGAUGGGAUUAGCUUGUAGGUGAGGUAACGGCUCACCUAGGCGACGAUCCCUAACUGGUCUGAGAGGAUGACCAGCCACACUGGAACUGAGACACGGUCCAGACUCCUACGGGAGGCAGCAGUGGGGAAUAUUGCACAAUGGGCGCAAGCCUGAUGCAUCCAUGCCGCGUGUAUGAAGAAGGCCUUCGGGUUGUAAAGUACUUUCAGCGGGGAGGAAGGGAGUGAGGUUAAUAACCUCAUUCAUUGACGUUACCCGCAGAAGAAGCACCGGCUAACUCCGUGCCAGCAGCCGCGGUAAUACGGAGGGUGCAAGCGUUAAUCGGAAUUACUGGGCGUAAAGCGCACGCAGGCGGUCUGUCAAGUCGGAUGUGAAAUCCCCGGGCUCAACCUGGGAACUGCAUUCGAAACUGGCAGGCUGGAGUCUUGUACAGGGGGGUAGAAUUCCAGGUGUAGCGGUGAAAUGCGUACAGAUCUGGAGGAAUACCGGUGGCGAAGGCGGCCCCCUGGACAAAGACUGA